RNAcentral lists this ribosomal RNA (292 nucleotides) under uncultured eukaryote. RNAcentral describes it as "partial 18S ribosomal RNA". It matches the Rfam family "Eukaryotic small subunit ribosomal RNA", at positions 6 to 304 of the family's 1831-position model. The record is from RNAcentral.
GGUUGAUCCUGCCAGCGGUGAUACUUUCCAGUCAAAGAUUAAGCCAUGCAUGUCUAAGCAUAGCUGGCAACAGUGAAGCCGCGAAUAGCUCAUUACAACAGCCGUUGUUUCUUGGAUCUACUCUCUACUUGGAUAACUGUGGUAAUUCUAGAGCUAAUACAUGCAUCAAGACCCGACGCAAGGACGGUCGCAUUUAUUACAACAAAACCAUCCGGUCCUCGGACCGUUCCUUGGUGACUCUGAAUAACUGAGCAAAUCGCACGGUCUCGCACCGGCGAUGUAUCUUUCAAGU